GCACUGCCCGGUAGCUAAAUGCGGAAGAGAUAAGUGCUGAAAGCAUCUAAGCACGAAACUUGCCCCGAGAUGAGUUCUCCCUGAGACUUAGAGUCUCCUGAAGGAACGUUGAAGACGACGACGUUGAUAGGCCGGGUGUGUAAGCGCAGCGAUGCGUUGAGCUAACCGGUACUAAUGAACCGUGAGGCUUAACCUUACAACGCCGAAGAUGUUUUG
This 216-nucleotide ribosomal RNA is filed under the name Salmonella enterica subsp. enterica serovar Derby. It matches the Rfam family "Bacterial large subunit ribosomal RNA", at positions 2735 to 2925 of the family's 2925-position model. The record is from RNAcentral. Lineage: Bacteria; Pseudomonadati; Pseudomonadota; Gammaproteobacteria; Enterobacterales; Enterobacteriaceae.